AUUCCAUGAUGAGGGCACUUCUGUAAUAAUUCUUUGUACCUUUCCCAUGCCUCAUACAAGGACUCGUCAUCCAUUUUUUAGAAGGUAGUAAUUUAAUUCUGCAACU
This 106-nucleotide small nucleolar RNA is filed under the name Gossypium arboreum. RNAcentral describes it as "Plant small nucleolar RNA R71". It matches the Rfam family "Plant small nucleolar RNA R71". Rfam says of the family: R71 is a member of the C/D box family of snoRNAs containing the C (UGAUGA) and D (CUGA) box motifs. Multiple nearly identical copies of this snoRNA have been identified in Arabidopsis, and it is thought to function as a 2'-O-ribose methylation guide for 18S ribosomal RNA. The record is from Rfam by way of RNAcentral. Lineage: Eukaryota; Viridiplantae; Streptophyta; Magnoliopsida; Malvales; Malvaceae.